This 4207-nucleotide long non-coding RNA is filed under the name Daucus carota (carrot). RNAcentral describes it as "long non-coding RNA (DCAR_LNC001786)". Lineage: Eukaryota; Viridiplantae; Streptophyta; Magnoliopsida; Apiales; Apiaceae. The record is from RNAcentral.
UGGAUAUUUACCUGCAAAACAGUACAGUUUUUAUUUCUUGCUUGCCUGAUUCUGUUCCUUCCAACCAAAUUUAGGGUUAGAGACUUAGAGUUAAAUUCUUAUAGAUUUUUUUGUUCUACCUGUGUUUUACUUGUUGGUGUUUUUCAGGUUUUCUCCCAGAAGAAUUGGAUAAGUUGUGUGUAAAGUAUGUAUACCCAGCAUUUACCCCAACAGUUGUUUUCUUUUUUGGGGGAACGAUCGUGUAUGGUGUCUCUAAAUACCUGCAGAACGAAAAAGAGAAUAACCAAAAUUUAUGAUUUCUUCAAUGUAAAUAAGUUCUUGGAUUCCUUGGCUGCACCUUUUGCUUUGCUUCUCAUUGCAAUGGUCAUAAAGAUGUAUGGCCUUUGAGUUUUUUAUUUGAGAAUCUGCCAAGGAUAAUGUAAUUCUAUAUUUUCAUAUCAUACCUACAUCGGCAUUCUGCAUACUAACAUUUUACAGUGAGCAUACUUGCAUCUGAAAGAGUUCCAUUGCAAGUCGAGUAUGCUAAUGGUUACGACUUUUGAGUAGAGCUGCUAUAGACACAUACACCAGGAAAACUCAGUUCAAGCUGCUAUAGACACAUACAUCAGGAAAACUCAGUUGAUCUGUACAUAUGCGGUGAUUCCUNGAUCUUUUUACUCAAACCUAUUACUCUUCUUUAUUCAUUCAAAAUAACUCUUUUUUCAAUUAAAAAAUUAAUGCGACGGUUGUUAUUAUUGCCCUUGGUAUGUUUUUGUAAAUAGUUAAAAAAUUACUGUAAAAAUUAAAUUUUAAGGAGAUCAAUAUAAAUAUAUAUUUGCAUAAAAAUAUAAGAGGGUCGACUGAUACUCUUGCUCCUGUUAGGAUCUCAUCUGCAAUGUUGUGCCUUAGAAUGAGUUCAGCCGAAGAGGAAUAUAUUUUUUCUAUAACACGCUUGCUCACCCUCAAAAGGGCAAUCUUAACCUGACUAAAAAAAUCAUAUCAAAACUAUGGAAUACUAUAUGUGGAGAAAAUCGAGUAAUCAAAAAAGAAAUUACUCUUAUGGUUGGUAUGUAAGUACAAGAACGGCUUUUAACUUGAUUGACAAACAAGUUGGCAGAAAAGAAGCGGCGACUGGAUUUGAAAUAAGAUUGUGUUCAAGAACAUGUUUUUCAUUUCAAAUUUUGGAUUUCAAAUGACACGAUUUGAGAUGUCAUUUCAAAUUCUCAGUUUUAUACUGGUAAUUGAAUGUCUUAGAUUUAAAAUAAAAUUUAAAUCCAAAUUAUUUUUUAUCCAAACAUAUCAUUUUAUCAAAUCUUGGAUUUCAAAUGAAAUCCAAUUUCCAAACAGACUAUAAAGAUACUUGAAUUGACACGUGAUCGUAUUUGUGUUUUUUCGCAAUUUUAUUAGUUGAUGAUCGAUUAAUUGAUUUUAAUUUUUUUUAAUUUUUUUAUAUUAUUUUCAUAUAAUUAAAUCUAUAUCUUUGUUUCCAGAAGAGUCAGUGAACUCUUGUGCAAUUGAAGCACUGUAGGAUUAGGAGAAGACAGGAUCAGCUAGUCAGUUAAUUUGGUUCUCUUUUUUUGGAAAUCAUGACUUAGUUUUAUCAUUGUUGAAAUAUUGUGACAUUUUGUUAGACUCAAAUUAUAUAUUAUUUUUUUUUCUAAUAAUUCUACAUUUGGAAUGUUUCAACUCUCUCAACUCUAUGUAGAUAGGUAUAGAUUAUUCAAAGAAUGCAAAUGUAGAAUAUUUUGUAAAACGUGUUAUCUUGCAAAAAUAUAAUUCACAAAUAUCAUUAUUUCAAUAAAAUCUUAUAAAUCUUAUAAAUUUACAAGUAAAAUAUGUAUUUUAUGCAAUAUGAACGUGUAUAUUCUUCAAACUAAACAUAUUUUAUAAAAUAAUAUAUUUUGCAAUGUUCUACUGGUAAACUAUAUGUCUACAUGGGGUGCGCAAGAUUUUCAAUAAAUAGUGAUUUUUGUAUAACAUCAUUCGAAAAAUAAUAUGUUUUAUAACAUUUUAAAAUAUAUUUUACUUAAAAAACAUAUGUCAACUUUAAGACUCCAAUGAAACUGUGGACUUAAUAGAACUUAACUUUUAUAUAUUAAUAUAAUUAUAUGCUAAUUUAUUAUAUAUAUGUUAUAUAUGUUCGUUUCGGAUAUAUCAUGUUAAAAUUUUAGUAAAAUUGAAACCAAAUUAAUCUAGCAAAAAAAUCCAAAUUUUCUGUAUGAUCAUAUGGUUCGGUCCGCUUUAUUAAGUUUUGAUAUGCGAGGAUCAUUUCUACUUUAUUUUUUUUUAACCUCAGUAUCUUAACUAUUAACAAAAUCCUGUGUCUAAAAAGAAACCCGAGUGUAGCUGAACAUAGCAAGUAGUUUAGAGGCAGAGGUACUAAACUAACCAAAUCAAACAAUGUCUCUAAUUCUCCACUCAUCUCCCACCUUUCAUUUCAAUGCCUCUAAUCUUUUUCUCAACAAAUCUCCUCACCUAUCAUUCUCCAAACCCUCAAGACUCUCCAUCAAAUCUGAAGAUUCUUCGGACCAAUCAAGUGAUGACGCAUCAUCCACCGUGGUCCCACCCAAAUCCAGCUCCACUGGUCUAGGAUUCGGCUCUUCCGCUGCUUCUCCGAGUCCAACAAAGAAAAAACAGGGGAAAAGAGAAAGAGCGGCUGUGAUUCGUAGAGACCCAGUUGAGAAACCCAAGUUUGCUGCACUAAGAGAUGAGAGUGAGUUGAAGGAGCAGGGGCAGAAUGAGCAAGCUUUCUUGCUUGCUUGGUUAGGUCUUGGUUCUAUUAUUUUUGUCCAGGGGAUUCUUCUUGCUGUUUCAGGUAUAUAUUUCAUGACCCUUUUCGAGGAAUUGUUGAAUUUAUUGAUUUGGAGUUCUUAGUAGGUUGUUUAGAGUAAUUGGAUGAUGGAGUACUACAUGAUUGUAUUGCAUUCUUGAUAUUCUGUGCGGUUUAAUUGGUAAGAAUGUAAUUACUAAUGACCUAGGGAUGAGGUGAAAAACUGUGAAUUGUGCAGAAAAGAAAAUGAAGAGGGUAGAGUGAUGAAAAUGUGAGAGCGAUUUUUUUAUGGUGGGAUAGAGAAUUAUAGAGCUUUAGUUCGUAUUUUAAAGGGUUAAUAAUCAAAUGAGUCACCAAAGUGGGUUCGAUAUAUCAAUUUGGUCACUAAACUCAAAACCGUCUCAAAUUAGUCAUUUAAGUCGGUUAUACGUAUCUUUAAAUAUGAGUUGAAGGUGUAAAAAUAUUAUUUACAGAGGUUUACGCAUUAUUAUUGAAUGUUAUCACAACUAAGUACAAUGUUUUAUAAUAAUAUAUUUUGAUUUUAUCAAGUUUAUUUAUUAUUUAUUUUUAAUUAAAACAAAGGAAUUAACUAUAUAAUAAAAAAUAAAUAACAAAUAAAUUUGAUAUAAUCUAAAUAUAUUAUCAUAAAUACUAGAAGUCAUAACCUUGUACUUAGUUGUGGUAACAUUCAAUAAUAAUGUGUAAAUCUAUGUAAAUAAUACUUUCACUCUUUGAACUCACAUUUAAAGAUACAUGUAACUGUGACCAAUUUGAGACGGUUUUGAGUUCAGUGACCAAUUUGAUAUAUCGAGUUCACUUCGGUGACUCACUUGAUUAUUAACCCGUAUUUUAAAUGAACAAGAAUGGAAUGAAAAUGUGUGAAGAAUAGGGAGGUGGAAAUUUUGAUGCAGAGGGGAGAGUAAAAAAGAGAGCAAAUUUACUAGGGUGAGAUUGUGUUAAAGAUUCAAUCUGUAUGAAUGUAAUGGAUGACUGAAUGAAAAUUAUGAAUUGAAUGAACAAUGUGGAUAUUUACCUGCAAAACAGUACAGUUUUUAUUUCUUGCUUGCCUGAUUCUGUUCCUUCCAACCAAAUUUAGGGUUAGAGACUUAGAGUUAAAUUCUUAUAGAUUUUUUUGUUCUACCUGUGUUUUACUUGUUGGUGUUUUUCAGGUUUUCUCCCAGAAGAAUUGGAUAAGUUGUGUGUAAAGUAUGUAUACCCAGCAUUUACCCCAACAGUUGUUUUCUUUUUUGGGGGAACGAUCGUGUAUGGUGUCUCUAAAUACCUGCAGAACGAAAAAGAGAAUAACCAAAAUUUAUGAUUUCUUCAAUGUAAAUAAGUUCUUGGAUUCCUUGGCUGCACCUUUUGCUUUGCUUCUCAUUGCAAUGGUCAUAAAGAUGUAUGGCCUUUGAGUUUUUUAUUUGAGAAUCUGCCAAGGAUAAUGUAAUUCUAUAUUUUCAU